Non-coding RNA from Gossypium hirsutum (cotton), 107 nucleotides. NCBI's taxonomy places the organism in Eukaryota, Viridiplantae, Streptophyta, Magnoliopsida, Malvales, Malvaceae. The record is from Rfam.
AAACCAUGCAUCAAAUAUUUCCGUAUUAAAUCUUUAAAUCACUCCCAAGCUUCAUAUAAUGUUUCAUCCUCUAAUUGCCAGAAAUAUUUGAUAUCAUUUCUAAGCUU